This 253-nucleotide ribosomal RNA is filed under the name uncultured bacterium. RNAcentral describes it as "partial 16S ribosomal RNA". It matches the Rfam family "Bacterial small subunit ribosomal RNA", at positions 524 to 776 of the family's 1533-position model. The record is from RNAcentral.
UACGUAGGGUGCAAGCGUUGUCCGGAAUGAUUGGGCGUAAAGCGUCCGCAGGUGGCAGUUCAAGUCUGCUGUCAAAGACCGGGGCUUAACUUCGGAAAGGCAGUGGAAACUGAACAGCUAGAGUAUGGUAGGGGCAGAGGGAAUUCCUGGUGUAGCGGUGAAAUGCGUAGAGAUCAGGAAGAACAUCGGUGGCGAAGGCGCUCUGCUGGACCAUAACUGACACUCAGGGACGAAAGCUAGGGGAGCGAAUGGG